AAUAUCCCAAGCUGAAACCUCCACCGUUAGAUCUAACCACACAGUUCCAUCUUACAAGACUUCCUAACAACUCCCCUCAUCUUCUUCUCUGAACCCUAACGACACUUGCGGCCAGAUCUGUCACAAAUUCAAAGAAACAAUGAGUCGCUCCAGCAGGACGCUGUAUGUUGGUAAUCUUCCUGGUGAUAUUCGUGAGCGGGAAGUGGAAGAUUUGUUUUACAAGUAUGGUCCAAUCGCUCGCAUUGAUCUGAAAGUCCCACCAAGACCCCCUGGUUACGCUUUUGUUGAGUUUGAAGAGGCUCGUGAUGCUGAGGAUGCUAUCCGGGGUCGUGAUGGCUAUGAUUUUGAUGGGCAUAGAUUAAGGGUGGAACUUGCUCAUGGUGGCCGUGGCAACUCAUCUUCUACUGACCGUCAUGGUAGUUAUGGCGGUGGGGGUGGUGGUGGUGGUGGCCGUGGUGCUUAUGGAGUUUCUAAAAGAUCCGAUUACCGAGUUUUGGUCACUGGGUUACCCUCUUCUGCUUCAUGGCAAGACCUUAAGGAUCACAUGCGUCUAGCUGGAGAUGUUUGCUUUUCGCAAGUUUUCAAGGAAGGCGGCGGUACCACAGGGAUUGUGGACUAUACAAACUAUGACGACAUGAAAUAUGCUAUACGGAAAUUAGAUGACUCUGAGUUCCGGAAUGCAUUCUCUCGUGGAUUUAUACGCGUGAAGGAGUAUGAUUCAAGUCGCUCUAGGAGCCGCAGUCGUAGCCGCAGCUAUAGCCGUAGUCGCAGCAGGAGCCGGAGCAAAUCCCCAAAAGCAAAAUCUUCUCGUCGCUCAAAAUCUCGUUCAAGGUCGGCAUCUCGUUCUCGUUCAGGAUCAGAGCCUCGUCCAUCAGCAAGAUUGGAUCAAGCGGGAUCAUGUUCAUGGAUAUGGACUGCAAUCAAAAAGCUGGAUUGUGGAUACGCAAUCACUUUUUAACAGCUGGAUCAGCGAUCAUGUGAUAUUGUGAUUGCUUCUCCAAAUGCCACGUAUAAGUCAGCUUUAUUGGCUCUUGGAUCAGAGUAAUUAAGAGGAACUUUUGGAUAUUAAACUCGCUUGUUUCUGGAACUUUUGCAGAUCUCCUUCAAGAUCCAGAUCUCCACCACCGUCUCGCCCAAAGCGUGUCAGUAAAAGCCCCAAAAAGCGCAGUCCUAGCAAGAGCCGGAGCCCGAGCAAAAGCAGGAGCCGUAGCAGGAGCAAGAGUUUAUCGCGGUGAUGGGCGGUUAGACUAUGAAGCAGGAAAAGGUUACUUUGUUGUUUUGUUUUAAGCAAAUUAACCAACAUGGGAUUUUUAUUGUGUUAAAAGAUAUCGGGCAUGCUUGGACUCGCGAAUCCUCAUUGCCUAUUUACAUUUGUUAGACCAAGUUGGAUAAAUUUGUUGAAUUGGUAUGUAUUGUUGAAUAGCUUUAGUGUGUUCUGAUUCGGAGUUUUGCUUUGGUAGAGUCAGUUUAAGACUGCCAAUAGAACCGUCAACUGUGUGGAUGCUUGUUGGCAUGGUUAUUGUUACAUUGUUAUAAAGUUGCUAGAGUACCAGGGCAACCACUAUUA
Molecule: RNA transcript, 1567 nt
Organism: Helianthus annuus (common sunflower)
Lineage: Eukaryota; Viridiplantae; Streptophyta; Magnoliopsida; Asterales; Asteraceae
Gene name: serine/arginine-rich-splicing factor SR34
Exons: 15
Source: RefSeq, a predicted model, not a curated record